This 112-nucleotide non-coding RNA is filed under the name human gut metagenome. RNAcentral's name for it is "FMN riboswitch (RFN element)". It matches the Rfam family "FMN riboswitch aptamer (RFN element)". From Rfam's summary of the family: The RFN element is a highly conserved domain that is found frequently in the 5'-untranslated regions of prokaryotic mRNAs that encode for flavin mononucleotide (FMN) biosynthesis and transport proteins. This element is a metabolite-dependent riboswitch that directly binds FMN in the absence of proteins. The record is from RNAcentral.
CGUCUUCAGGGCGGGGUGCAAUUCCCCACUGGCGGUAUAGUCCGCGACCCACUUUUUGUGGCUGACCCGGUGCGACUCCGGGACCAACGGUAUAGUCCGGAUGGAAGAAGAU